Molecule: ribosomal RNA, 253 nt
Filed under: uncultured bacterium
Lineage: Bacteria
Description: partial 16S ribosomal RNA
Rfam family: Bacterial small subunit ribosomal RNA
Source: RNAcentral
UACGUAGGGUGCAAGCGUUGAUCGGAAUUACUGGGCGUAAAGCGUGCGCAGGCGGUGAUGUAAGACAGAUGUGAAAUCCCCGGGCUCAACCUGGGAACUGCAUUUGUGACUGCAUCGCUGGAGUACGGCAGAGGGGGAUGGAAUUCCGCGUGUAGCAGUGAAAUGCGUAGAUAUGCGGAGGAACACCGAUGGCGAAGGCAAUCCCCUGGGCCUGUACUGACGCUCAUGCACGAAAGCGUGGGGAGCAAACAGG